UUGGGAGCUCACUGGCUCGGAGUCAUGGGAACUCCGAAGUUAAGCGAGUUUGGGCUAGAGCAAUCCCAGAAUGAGUGACCUACUGAGAAGUUGCUCGUGAGUUCCCAGA
This 109-nucleotide ribosomal RNA is filed under the name Prunus dulcis (almond). The record is from RNAcentral. Lineage: Eukaryota; Viridiplantae; Streptophyta; Magnoliopsida; Rosales; Rosaceae.